ACAAAAUGAAAGUAACAAAAUACAAAUAAUUCAGCACAACCUCACACAACUAAACUAACUAGUGAUGCAAAUUGUGAACACAAAUUUAAUAUAUACCAGCAGAAUUUGCAGCAUACGAGAUGCCUUUGAUUGGAAUUUAGUGAUUUUUUAUUUAAUAUAUAACCCAAUGUGCUUAUUAAUUUUCCAAUGGAUGCUGAUUUAAUAUAUAAAGAUUAUUGCGCAAUUGAUACCCUUAAGAUUAUUGCGCAAUUGAUUUAAUAUAUAAAAAUUUGACUUCACAAUUGAAUCUUCACACAUUCGGAAUUAUUACAACCAAAAUUGGGCAUUAAUUAAACCAAUUACCUCCACGAAUUGAUUACGACGGCUACAACUAUCUACAGGGCAGACAGAGAAAGAGAAACCCAACGAGAUGCGCGAGAGAGAUCCACGACGAGAGAAAGUCGAAGGAGAGAGCAGCGAGAUGAGUGAGAGGCCGGAUGAGAGAGACCCGCGGUGAGAGAGAGAGCCACAGCCGAAGACAGACCCAAGGCGAGAGAGAGAGACCCACGGUGAGAGAGAGAGCCACUGCCGAAGACAGACCCAAGGCGAGAGAGAGAGACCCACGGUGAGAGAGAGAGCCACUGCCGAAGACAGACCCAAGGCGAGAGAGAGAGACCCACGGUGAGAGAGAGAGCCACUGCCGAAGACAGACCCAAGGCGAGAGAGAGAGACCCACGGUGAGAGAGAGAGCCACUGCCGAAGACAGACCCAAGGCGAGAGAGAGAGACCCACGGUGAGAGAGAGAGCCACUGCCGAAGACAGACCCAAGGCGAGAGAGAGAGACCCACGGUGAGAGAGAGAGCCACUGCCGAAGACAGACCCAAGGCGAGAGAGAGAGACCCACGGUGAGAGAGAGAGCCACUGCCGAAGACAGACCCAAGGCGAGAGAGAGAGACCCACGGUGAGAGAGAGAGCCACUGCCGAAGACAGACCCAAGGCGAGAGAGAGAGCCACAACCGAAGAGAGACCCACGCUCGAGAGAGAAAGAGAGAAAGAGAGAAAACUGAAAGACAGAGCAAUCCCACGAUGAAGAGCAGAGCUUGAAGAUGGCAAAGAACUGGCUGCAAUUGAACUCGUUGCUUGGUGUGAAAUGCAUGAGUGAGAGUGAUGCAUGCGUGAGAUGAGAUGCGCGUGCAGUGUGUUUGCUUGUUCAAACAGUGCCCUUUUAUAUUACAAAUAAAACGCACCGUUCGGGACUUACUGUGGUGCUUAUUGUGGGCUGAAUAUCGGUGUUGU
RNAcentral lists this long non-coding RNA (1275 nucleotides) under Citrus sinensis (sweet orange). RNAcentral describes it as "long non-coding RNA (CSIN_LNC001906)". The record is from RNAcentral. Lineage: Eukaryota; Viridiplantae; Streptophyta; Magnoliopsida; Sapindales; Rutaceae.